CGCCAGACUCCUACGGGAGGCAGCAGUGGGGAAUCUUGCGCAAUGGGCGGAAGCCUGACGCAGCGACGCCGCGUGCGGGACGAAGGCCUUCGGGUCGUAAACCGCUUUCAGCAGGGACGAGGCCCUCACGGUGACGGUACCUGCAGAAGAAGCCCCGGCUAACUCCGUGCCAGCAGCCGCGGUAAUACGGAGGAUGCGAGCGUUAUCCGGAUUUAUUGGGUUUAAAGGGUGCGCAGGCGGAGGUGCAAGUCAGCGGUCAAAUUGCGGGGCUCAACCCCGUACUGCCGUUGAAACUGCAUCCCUUGAGUGCGCGAGAAGUAUGCGGAAUGCGUGGUGUAGCGGUGAAAUGCAUAGAUAUCACGCAGAACUCCGAUUGCGAAGGCAGCAUACCGGCGCGCAACUGACGCUCAUGCACGAAAGCGUGGGUAUCGAACAGGAUUAGAUACCCCCGUA
RNAcentral lists this ribosomal RNA (453 nucleotides) under uncultured bacterium. Its description in RNAcentral is "bacterial SSU rRNA". It matches the Rfam family "Bacterial small subunit ribosomal RNA", at positions 329 to 792 of the family's 1533-position model. The record is from RNAcentral.